Molecule: long non-coding RNA, 249 nt
Filed under: Hordeum vulgare
Lineage: Eukaryota; Viridiplantae; Streptophyta; Magnoliopsida; Poales; Poaceae
Description: long non-coding RNA (HVUL_LNC015574)
Source: RNAcentral
GAUGAGUUUGUCGGACCUUCCCACCACCACCGCCGCCGCCACCACCGCCUUCCCCGCCACCUCACAGCAGCAGCAGCCGCCGCCGCACCACUCACCGCCGCCGGCCACCUCAGGCCCGGCCGCCUCCGGUCCCGCGGCCGAACCCGCUCCCGUCCUCUCCCGGGCGGAGAUGUCCUCGGCGAUCCGCGACCUCAACCUGGCGGUCUCGAACCUCCGGACUCUCCUCCAGGCUCCGUACGCAACCCCGCC